UACAGAGGUCUCGAGCGUUGUUCGGAUUCAUUGGGCGUAAAGGGUGCGUAGGCGGCGAUGUAAGUCGGGUGUGAAAUCCCGGGGCUCAACCCCGGAACUGCAUUCGAUACUGCAUUGCUUGAGGACUGGAGAGGAGACUGGAAUUCACGGUGUAGCAGUGAAAUGCGUAGAUAUCGUGAGGAAGACCGGUGGCGAAGGCGGGUCUCUGGACAGUUCCUGACGCUGAGGCACGAAGGCCAGGGGAGCAAACGGG
RNAcentral lists this ribosomal RNA (253 nucleotides) under uncultured bacterium. RNAcentral describes it as "partial 16S ribosomal RNA". It matches the Rfam family "Bacterial small subunit ribosomal RNA", at positions 524 to 776 of the family's 1533-position model. The record is from RNAcentral.